CAAGUCCCCUGGAAAGGGGCGCCGGAGAGGGUGAGAGCCCCGUCGUGCCCGGACCCUGUCGCACCAUGAGGUGCCGUCUACGAGUCGGGUUGUUUGGGAAUGCAGCCCUAAUCGGGCGGUAAAUUCCGUCCAAGGCUAAAUACGAGUGAGAGACCGAUAGCGAACAAGUACCGCGAGGGAAAGAUGAAAAGGACUUUGAAAAGAGAGUCAAAGAGUGCU
Molecule: non-coding RNA, 219 nt
Filed under: Gossypium arboreum
Lineage: Eukaryota; Viridiplantae; Streptophyta; Magnoliopsida; Malvales; Malvaceae
Description: Eukaryotic large subunit ribosomal RNA
Rfam family: Eukaryotic large subunit ribosomal RNA
Source: Rfam by way of RNAcentral